Molecule: ribosomal RNA, 275 nt
Filed under: uncultured Staphylococcus sp.
Lineage: Bacteria; Bacillati; Bacillota; Bacilli; Caryophanales; Staphylococcaceae
Description: partial 16S ribosomal RNA
Rfam family: Bacterial small subunit ribosomal RNA
Source: RNAcentral
AUGUUAGCGGCGGACGGGUGAGUAACACGUGGGUAACCUACCUAUAAGACUGGGAUAACUCCGGGAAACCCGGGGCUAAUACCGGAUAAUAUUUUGAACCGCAUGGUUCGAUAGUGAAAGACGGUUUCGGCUGUCACUUAUAGAUGGACCCGCGCCGUAUUAGCUAGUUGGUAAGGUAACGGCUUACCAAGGCGACGAUACGUAGCCGACCUGAGAGGGUGAUCGGCCACACUGGAACUGAGACACGGUCCAGACUCCUACGGGAGGCAGCAGAC